Mauremys reevesii (Reeves's turtle) is the source of this 261-nucleotide long non-coding RNA. RefSeq lists it as uncharacterized. The transcript is spliced from 2 exons. NCBI's taxonomy places the organism in Eukaryota, Metazoa, Chordata, Testudines, Geoemydidae. The record is from RefSeq and is a predicted model, not a curated record.
CUCUUGACGGGGGUUGCGAUGGCAGCGCAGGAGAGAUCAGAGCCUGGCAUUCAUCAGUGGAGCAGCGCAGGCUGCUGUCAGCCGGGUCUGACGAAUGUGGCGUUACUCCGGUAGAGAUGAGCUGCUUGACAGUGUAUCAUUUUGGACGUCUUUUCCCGUCAUGUCUCAUCAAGAUCAAUCUAACCCGCGAUGCGGAUAAUGCGAUAUAAUGAAUCGCUGCAGAUGAAAGGCGCUUUAAAAUAAACCCACCGACACAAUGUA